CCUACGGGAGACAGCAGUGAGGAAUAUUGGUCAAUGGACGAGAGUCUGAACCAGCCCAGUAGCGUGAAGGAUGACUGCCCUAUGGGUUGUAAACUUCUUUUAUAUUGGAAUAAAAUGUUCCACGUGUGGGAUUUUGUAUGUACCAUAUGAAUAAGGAUCGGCUAACUCCGUGCCAGCAGCCGCGGUAAUACGGAGUAUCCGAGCGUUAUCCGGAUUUAUUGGGUUUAAAGGGAGCGUAGGUGGAUUGUUAGGUCAGUUGUGAAAGUUUGCGGCUCAACCGUAAAAUUGCAGUUGAAACUGGCAGUCUUGAGUACAGUAGAGGUGUGCGGAAUUCGUGGUGUAGCGGUGAAAUGCUUAGAUAUCACGAAGAACUCCGAUUGCGAAGGCAGCUCACUGGACUGCAACUGACACUGAGGCUCGAAAGUGUGGGUAGCAAACAGGAUUAGAGACCCCUGUAGUC
Molecule: ribosomal RNA, 460 nt
Filed under: uncultured bacterium
Lineage: Bacteria
Description: partial 16S ribosomal RNA
Rfam family: Bacterial small subunit ribosomal RNA
Source: RNAcentral